RNAcentral lists this ribosomal RNA (253 nucleotides) under uncultured bacterium. RNAcentral describes it as "partial 16S ribosomal RNA". It matches the Rfam family "Bacterial small subunit ribosomal RNA", at positions 524 to 776 of the family's 1533-position model. The record is from RNAcentral.
UACGUAGGUGGCAAGCGUUGUCCGGAUUUACUGGGCGUAAAGGGCGCGCAGGCGGUCCGGCACGUCCGUUGUGAAAUCGCUCGGCUCAACUGGGCGGGGUCAGCGGAUACGGCCGCACUUGAGCAAGCUAGGGGGCAAUGGAAUUCCCGGUGUAGUGGUGGAAUGCGUAGAUAUCGGGAAGAACAUCGGUGGCGAAAGCGCUCUACUGGACCGCAACUGACACUCAGGGACGAAAGCUAGGGGAGCGAAUGGG